RNAcentral lists this ribosomal RNA (398 nucleotides) under uncultured bacterium. RNAcentral describes it as "bacterial SSU rRNA". It matches the Rfam family "Bacterial small subunit ribosomal RNA", at positions 28 to 430 of the family's 1533-position model. The record is from RNAcentral.
GACGAACGCUGGCGGCGUGCUUAACACAUGCAAGUCGAGCGGUAAGGCCCUUUCGGGGGUACACGAGCGGCGAACGGGUGAGUAACACGUGGGUGACCUGCCCUCAGCUCUGGGAUAAGCCUGGGAAACCGGGUCUAAUACUGGAUAUGACUCCAUGACGCAUGUUGUGGGGUGGAAAGCCUUGUGCGGCUGAGGAUGGGCCCGCGGCCUAUCAGCUUGUUGGUGGGGUGAUGGCCUACCAAGGCGACGACGGGUAGCCGGCCUGAGAGGGCGACCGGCCACACUGGGACUGAGACACGGCCCAGACUCCUACGGGAGGCAGCAGUGGGGAAUCUUGCGCAAUGGGCGAAAGCCUGACGCAGCGACGCCGCGUGAGGGAUGACGGCCUCGGUGUAACU